Molecule: long non-coding RNA, 302 nt
Organism: Drosophila ananassae
Lineage: Eukaryota; Metazoa; Arthropoda; Insecta; Diptera; Drosophilidae
Exons: 2
Source: RefSeq, a predicted model, not a curated record
CUUAGGAAGAUAUUCGGAACCAAGGCUAAGAGGAACCAAAGGAUUGAAAAUGCAAAAGGAAAAAUACAUCAUACGAGAAAAACGUCUGACCUCUGCCAAAACGACCACAGGUCUGCCCGACCGACUGCCCCGGACCUCUCAACUCUGCAGCAUGCAAUUGCACAUGCGUGAAGCCGAAGAAUAAAGCGAAGACCAACCCAAAACAAUAGCAAGCGUGGGAGGCACGACCGCCACCUGCGCCCUCGAGGGAGCGUCAGCGCAGCCAAACCGGCGACGACCAGCUGACGUGGAAGGAAGGACCA